This 55-nucleotide ribosomal RNA is filed under the name Fusarium oxysporum. Its description in RNAcentral is "partial 18S ribosomal RNA". It matches the Rfam family "Eukaryotic small subunit ribosomal RNA", at positions 1777 to 1831 of the family's 1831-position model. Lineage: Eukaryota; Fungi; Ascomycota; Sordariomycetes; Hypocreales; Nectriaceae. The record is from RNAcentral.
GAGAAGUAAAAGUCGUAACAAGGUCUCCGUUGGUGAACCAGCGGAGGGAUCAUUA